Molecule: ribosomal RNA, 254 nt
Filed under: uncultured bacterium
Lineage: Bacteria
Description: partial 16S ribosomal RNA
Rfam family: Bacterial small subunit ribosomal RNA
Source: RNAcentral
UACGUAGGGAGCGAGCGUUGUCCGGAUUCAUUGGGCGUAAAGAGCUCGUAGGCGGCUUGGCAAGUCGGGUGUGAAAACUCCAGGCUCAACCUGGAGACGCCACCCGAUACUGCCAUGGCUAGAGUCCGGUAGGGGACCACGGAAUUCCUGGUGUAGCGGUGAAAUGCGCAGAUAUCAGGAGGAACACCGGUGGCGAAGGCGGGUCUCUGGGCCGUAACUGACGCUGAGGAGCGAAAGCAUGGGGAGCGAACAGG